UGGGGAAUUUUGGACAAUGGGGGAAACCCUGAUCCAGCAAUGCCGCGUGUGCGAAGAAGGCCUUCGGGUUGUAAAGCACUUUUGUCAGGGAAGAAAUCCUUUGGGCUAAUACCCUAGGGGGAUGACGGUACCUGAAGAAUAAGCACCGGCUAACUACGUGCCAGCAGCCGCGGUAAUACGUAGGGUGCAAGCGUUAAUCGGAAUUACUGGGCGUAAAGCGUGCGCAGGCGGUUGUGUAAGACAGGUGUGAAAUCCCCGGGCUUAACCUGGGAAUUGCAUUUGUGACUGCACGACUAGAGUGUGUCAGAGGGGGGUGGAAUUCCACGUGUAGCAGUGAAAUGCGUAGAUAUGUGGAGGAACACCAAUGGCGAAGGCAGCCCCCUGGGAUAACACUGACGCUCAUGCACGAAAGCGUGGGGAGCAAACAGG
This 429-nucleotide ribosomal RNA is filed under the name Brucella melitensis. RNAcentral's name for it is "partial 16S ribosomal RNA". It matches the Rfam family "Bacterial small subunit ribosomal RNA", at positions 355 to 776 of the family's 1533-position model. RNAcentral also lists the same sequence under 6 other names. The record is from RNAcentral. Lineage: Bacteria; Pseudomonadati; Pseudomonadota; Alphaproteobacteria; Hyphomicrobiales; Brucellaceae.